Long non-coding RNA from Gossypium raimondii (Peruvian cotton), 521 nucleotides. RefSeq lists it as uncharacterized. The record is from RefSeq and is a predicted model, not a curated record. NCBI's taxonomy places the organism in Eukaryota, Viridiplantae, Streptophyta, Magnoliopsida, Malvales, Malvaceae. The transcript has 2 exons.
ACAGCCACCAAAAACUAUAGGAAAAAUAACCAAUUUACUCUCUCUGCGUCGGCUGUCCUAUGCCAUUCAAUUUUUGAAAGGCAGCGCAGAGAGAGGUCCACUAUUUAUUUUAUUCUUUUCAUUUAUUGGGGAAAUAAAUAUGGCAGUUCUUAGAUUUUGUUUUGUGCCUGUUCUAGCGGCUCUCGCUAUUGGUAUGAUUGCCUCUUCUGUUACUGUUCAAGCCCAGUCCCCCGCCCUUGCCCCUACCCUUGCCCCCACCACCAACGACGGAACAUCGAUUGACCAAGGGGUUGCAUGUGUAUUGAUGCUGGUGGCAUUGUUGCUUACAUACAUGAUUCAUGUCGCUGACUUAUGCUUCAACUUUUGAGCCAUUUGUUAGAUUAUCAAAUUUCUAGGGAGAGGGGGGAUAUGCUGGAUGAUUUGUAACUAUGCUUGUAUAAGUUUAGGCAAACUCUUGUUGGCUUUUUCCCGUGGAUAAUUUGAUGACUUCAAUUUUAUUAUGUUUAGUGGCAUUCUCAUAA